CUUAGUUUAUGUUGGUGUAUAUCUGGUUUGAUAUUAUUGCUUUAAUAGCUUAAUUUGUGUAUAAUAGCUAAUUAAGCCAAGUCUAUGUGCUGCUUAUCUAAGUUUUCAUGCGUUACAGUAAUAAUAUUAAAUUUGUAAGAAUUUAAAUUUUAGGACUUGAUAGUAAUAUAAAAUUAUUUUGUUUAUGUGAAAAUGGUUUAGCUUGGGUACACACCGCCCGUCAA
Molecule: ribosomal RNA, 224 nt
Filed under: Microsomacanthus sp. VVP-2019
Lineage: Eukaryota; Metazoa; Platyhelminthes; Cestoda; Cyclophyllidea; Hymenolepididae
Description: partial 12S ribosomal RNA
Source: RNAcentral